RNAcentral lists this non-coding RNA (21 nucleotides) under Caenorhabditis elegans. The record is from RNAcentral. Lineage: Eukaryota; Metazoa; Nematoda; Chromadorea; Rhabditida; Rhabditidae.
UAUUUCUGCACAUUCCUGUUG